This is a long non-coding RNA of Drosophila willistoni, 889 nucleotides long. RefSeq lists it as uncharacterized. NCBI's taxonomy places the organism in Eukaryota, Metazoa, Arthropoda, Insecta, Diptera, Drosophilidae. The transcript has 5 exons. The record is from RefSeq and is a predicted model, not a curated record.
AAUAUAAAUGUAUCCAUAAAACUGUUUCAGCAAAUAUUAAAUCUGUUAAUUGGUAUCACCAGAGCUUGUCCUUAAAUUUGCCUUCGAUUUUGCGUCAAUGCGAGGUAGCUAUGGGAAAAUUAGUUAGUCCAAUGCCCAAAAUCUGUCAAAUGGUGGAGUCUAUUAUUGACAGGAUAACUGGAUCCAACUGAUACGACUCCCAAUUUUUACCACGAUGACCAGGAUUAAUCGACAAUGCUUCGUUUCUACCCGAGCUUUAAUAUUUUUCCUUAGUAUCCUUACAAUCUAUUGAGAAAAACUUUUUUUUUUCAACUCGUAACGACUGUGCUGCAAUCCAAAACAUUGGGCACUACAUAGAAUGGGAACUCGGCCGAUUCAUCUACAUCUGCAAAAGCAAAACAUAUUCAACAGAAGUCAAUUGCUCUGAAGUGUCGCGGUUUUUUCGAUAAAAAUAUUCCAAGAUCUAUAUAUAACGUUGUUAUAAUAGCUUCAAUCUUCGUUAUUGUUGUCAUUGGCAGCUUUCGAGAUGAUUGUUUCCAGAAGUUAUUUCGUUGCAAAACGCAUCUUCUUUACAACUGCAAAAGUGAUUGAAUCUGCUUAGUGGUAUUACCAGUUCUUAUCCCUUCACAAAGGUUUGAUAUGGCCUGAUAGAUGGGCAUAAUAUCAAUAAGGUUUUUCCUUAAUAUUCAUAAAUUCUAUCAAAAAACACUAUUUAAUGACUUGAAUCAAAUGUCUGGAUCCAACGGAAUCGUUUCCGCCUCUUUUAAAUUGUUCCAGAACGCGUAGGCUUCAUCGAUAAGAAUUCGUUGCAGUACGAGCUUAAAUAUGGCUAAUUUUUCCGUAAUAUCCUUAGAUAUUCUUUUUAACUGCAAAAGUGAUUGAAUCUGCC